AAUGAUCCGGUGAAGUGUUCGGAUCGCGGCGACGUGGGUGGUUCGCCGCCGGCGACGUCGCGAGAAGUCCACUGAACCUUAUCAUUUAGAGGAAGGAGAAGUCGUAACAAGGUUUCCGUAGGUGAACCUGCGGAAGGAUCAUUGUCGAAACCUGCUUUGCAGAACGACCCGUGAACACGUUAAAAAAUAUUAUGUGGAUUGAYGAGGAGCGUGAGCUUUAAAUCAUCCAUUGUCGGGGCAUGGGAUCGACCAUGGUUGAUCGUAUGCUCUCGUACAAACACAAAACCCGGCGCAAUUGGCGUCAAGGAAAUCUUAACGGAAACAGAGUGUURCCCAUUUAUAGUGGGUGAUGCUACGAAUCCGAUACUUAAACGACUCUCGGCAACGGAUAUCUCGGCUCUUGCAUCGAUGAAGAACGUAGCGAAAUGCGAUACUUGGUGUGAAUUGCAGAAUCCCGUGAACCAUCGAGUCUUUGAACGCAAGUUGCGCCCGAGGCCAUUUAGGUUGAGGGCACGUCUGCCUGGGCGUCACACAUAGCGUCGUUCCCAACCAAUUUUAUUAAUUGGGGAACGGAAAUUGGCCCCCCGAGUCCUUUUGGGCACGGUUGGCUCAAAUAUUGGUCCUCGACGGCAAGUGUCGCGGUCUGCGGUGGUUGUAAACUCAUCCCCUAAGACAAAAUAAGACGCGUAGCCUUGUCGUCUAACGGACCAACAUAACCCUUGGAAGCCGUUCAACGGUGUUCACCCUGCGACCCCAGUCA
RNAcentral lists this ribosomal RNA (760 nucleotides) under Actaea heracleifolia. RNAcentral's name for it is "eukaryotic LSU rRNA". The stretch from base 374 to 530 matches the Rfam family "5.8S ribosomal RNA". Lineage: Eukaryota; Viridiplantae; Streptophyta; Magnoliopsida; Ranunculales; Ranunculaceae. The record is from RNAcentral.